This 430-nucleotide ribosomal RNA is filed under the name Pseudomonadota bacterium. Its description in RNAcentral is "Proteobacteria bacterium partial 16S ribosomal RNA". It matches the Rfam family "Bacterial small subunit ribosomal RNA", at positions 355 to 776 of the family's 1533-position model. The record is from RNAcentral. Lineage: Bacteria; Pseudomonadati; Pseudomonadota.
UGGGGAAUAUUGGACAAUGGGGGGAACCCUGAUCCAGCCAUGCCGCGUGUGUGAAGAAGGCCUUAUGGUUGUAAAGCACUUUAAGCGAGGAGGAGGGUACUGGUAUUAAUACUACCAGGUACUGGACGUUACUCGCUGAAUAAGCACCGGCUAACUCUGUGCCAGCAGCCGCGGUAAUACAGAGGGUGCGAGCGUUAAUCGGAUUUACUGGGCGUAAAGCGUGCGUAGGCGGCUAAUUGAGUCGGAUGUGAAAUCCCCGAGCUUAACUUGGGAAUUGCAUUCGAUACUGGUUAGCUAGAGUGUGGGAGAGGAUGGUAGAAUUCCAGGUGUAGCGGUGAAAUGCGUAGAUAUAGGAAGGAACACCAGUGGCGAAGGCGACCACCUGGGCUCAUACUGACACUGAGGUGCGAAAGCGUGGGGAGCAAACAGG